AUUGAACGCUGGCGGCAUGCCUUACACAUGCAAGUCGAACGGCAGCACGGGAGCAAUCCUGGUGGCGAGUGGCGAACGGGUGAGUAAUAUAUCGGAACGUGCCCAGUCGUGGGGGAUAACGUAGCGAAAGCUACGCUAAUACCGCAUACGAUCUAUGGAUGAAAGCGGGGGAUCGCAAGACCUCGCGCGAUUGGAGCGGCCGAUAUCAGAUUAGGUAGUUGGUGAGGUAAAGGCUCACCAAGCCGACGAUCUGUAGCUGGUCUGAGAGGACGACCAGCCACACUGGGACUGAGACACGGCCCAGACUCCUACGGGAGGCAGCAGUGGGGAAGUUUUUGGACGAAUGGGCGGCAAG
Molecule: ribosomal RNA, 355 nt
Filed under: uncultured bacterium
Lineage: Bacteria
Description: bacterial SSU rRNA
Rfam family: Bacterial small subunit ribosomal RNA
Source: RNAcentral